GACCGGGAUGGACAUACCUCUGGUGUACCAGUUGUCGUGCCAACGGCAUAGCUGGGUAGCUAUGUAUGGACGGGAUAAGUGCUGAAAGCAUCUAAGCAUGAAGCCCCCCUCAAGAUGAGAUUUCCCAACUUCGGUUAUAAGAUCCCUCGAAGAUGACGAGGUUAAUAGGUUCGAGGUGGAAGCGUGGUGACACGUGGAGCUGACGAAUACUAAUCGAUCGAAGACUUAAUCAA
RNAcentral lists this ribosomal RNA (233 nucleotides) under Staphylococcus epidermidis NIH06004. Its description in RNAcentral is "partial 23S ribosomal RNA". It matches the Rfam family "Bacterial large subunit ribosomal RNA", at positions 2690 to 2925 of the family's 2925-position model. Lineage: Bacteria; Bacillati; Bacillota; Bacilli; Caryophanales; Staphylococcaceae. The record is from RNAcentral.